AAGCUAGUCUCUCCUCUCUUGCUCAACCCUUUGGUGCGCAGGCAGACUAUACGCCACCGACCACAAGUUCGAACCGAUAGCGCCACUAAGUUCAGCAUGCCAUUCGUAUGUUAAAGCCGCCAACGACCAUUAAGCACCGCCACCACCUUGACUCAUUACCGAUGUAUGGCUCGCAAUCAGCGCCACCGUUGUUUUAGAUUUGCCACCUUCUGUCACCAUGAGUCGCCAUUGCCGCUGUUUCGUUCUUUCGAUCAGAAGAGGUUAGCGUGCGUUUUCCAAACGAGUUGGUUAUGUGAUUGCUUUGCUUGCUAAACUAAGGUAAUAUAGGAUGAUCUGGGAUCUCAGUGAGGAGCGUUAGGAAGUUGUUGGCCAAGAUUCUUUAUUUCAGUAAUGUAAUAAAUGUAAUUAGGAUAUUUUAUUUAAUGCUAUGGGUUUUUAGUUUUGAUAUCUGUAAGAGUGACAUGUUAGCUCUAGCGGGGUUGGGGUGUUACAUAGCAACUGAUGACAGAGCAGACAACAAGGACAACGGUCAGGCUACGUGGGUCCAAUCAACGCGCGCCAGCUCUCCUCUCGCCCAGAAGCACCAACGGUCGUGGCAGAGGGGACAAAACGAAUAUUCCUUGUUGUCAACGACAAGGCACAAGGCCCAUCAGCCCAUCAUCUUCCACACAACUCUGGCUAUAAAUAGGAACCUUCAUCUACAGGUUUAAGGAUCCACUUACUCUCUUACUCCUAAUUACAUACUUAAUCCUCGAUACACAUACUUAAUCUCACGCCGGAGAGUGGUUAAGAGGAGGAUCCCCUUAUUCCCCUCCUCUUAAUGAGCUUAACGGGGUGUUUAGUGUUUGCAGGAGAACCACCAUCACGGCUUGGA
Molecule: long non-coding RNA, 874 nt
Organism: Helianthus annuus (common sunflower)
Lineage: Eukaryota; Viridiplantae; Streptophyta; Magnoliopsida; Asterales; Asteraceae
Exons: 3
Source: RefSeq, a predicted model, not a curated record